Molecule: unclassified non-coding RNA, 556 nt
Filed under: Hevea brasiliensis (rubber tree)
Lineage: Eukaryota; Viridiplantae; Streptophyta; Magnoliopsida; Malpighiales; Euphorbiaceae
Source: RNAcentral
UUAUCUCCUAGAAUGAAUGGCCCGCCGCCUCUCCCAUUCGCUCGGUUGAAUGGUCCUCCUCCGCGUCUUCUAUCUCCUAGAAUGAACGGGCCACCUCUUCUCCCAUCUCCUAGAAUGAAUGGUCCUCCUCCACCUCUUCCUUCUCCGGGAAUAAAUGGGCCUCCUCCUUUGCCUUCACCUACCUCUCAGUAUCUUUUGCCAUCGCCUACUGGCUUCUUAAACUUGUUAUCUCCCCGUUCUCCUUAUCCAUUGCUUUCACCAGGUAUGCAGCAUCCUCCACCGCUGACACCAAAUUUCUUCUUCUCUCCUAUGGCUCAGCCUGGAGGUUUUGGCACUGGACCACAAUUUCCUCCUUCCCCUGGUUAUGGAUUUCCGUUGUCACCUUCUGGGUUCUUCGCCAUGUCAAGUCCAAGAUGGAGGGGUCAAUAGCACCACCACGAACAGAGCUGCUGAUCUCGAUGGAUUCUUUGCUUCGAGUUUCGUCCAGGUGGUAGAUUUCCUUCAAAUUAAAGCUUUUUCACUGUGGAUAUGCAGUGUAUACACUAUACAAUGUAAG